GGAGGGUGCGAGCGUUAAUCGGAAUUACUGGGCGUAAAGCGCGCGUAGGCGGUUUGUUAAGUCAGCUGUGAAAGCCCCGGGCUCAACCUGGGAACUGCAGUUGAUACUGGCCGACUAGAGUACGAGAGAGGGAGGUAGAAUUCCAUGUGUAGCGGUGAAAUGCGUAGAUAUAUGGAGGAAUACCAGUGGCGAAGGCGGCCUCCUGGCUCGAUACUGACGCUGAGGUGCGAAAGCGUGGGGAUCAAACAGGAUUAGAUACCCUGGUAGUCCACGCCGUAAACGAUGUCUACUAGCCGUUGGGAGACUUGAUUUCUUAGUGGCGCAGCUAACGCAAUAAGUAGACCGCCUGGGGAGUACGGCCGCAAGGUUA
RNAcentral lists this ribosomal RNA (370 nucleotides) under uncultured bacterium. Its description in RNAcentral is "bacterial SSU rRNA". It matches the Rfam family "Bacterial small subunit ribosomal RNA", at positions 527 to 896 of the family's 1533-position model. The record is from RNAcentral.